Molecule: ribosomal RNA, 497 nt
Filed under: uncultured bacterium
Lineage: Bacteria
Description: partial 16S ribosomal RNA
Rfam family: Bacterial small subunit ribosomal RNA
Source: RNAcentral
GAUGAACGCUGGCGGCGUGCCUAAUACAUGCAAGUCGAGCGAACAGACGAGGAGCUUGCUCCUCUGACGUUAGCGGCGGACGGGUGAGUAACACGUGGAUAACCUACCUAUAAGACUGGGAUAACUUCGGGAAACCGGAGCUAAUACCGGAUAAUAUAUUGAACCGCAUGGUUCAAUAGUGAAAGACGGUUUUGCUGUCACUUAUCGAUUGAUCCGCGCCGCAUUAGCUAGUUGGUAAGGUAACGGCUUACCAAGGCGACGAUGCGUAGCCGACCUGAGAGGGUGAUCGGCCACACUGGAACUGAGACACGGUCCAGACUCCUACGGGAGGCAGCAGUAGGGAAUCUUCCGCAAUGGGCGAAAGCCUGACGGAGCAACGCCGCGUGAGUGAUGAAGGUCUUCGGACCGUAAAACUCUGUUAUUAGGGAAGAACAAAUGUGUAAGUAACUAUGCACGUCUUGACGGUACCUAAUCAGAAAGCCACGGCUAACUACGUG